This 1881-nucleotide ribosomal RNA is filed under the name Triticum aestivum (bread wheat). RNAcentral's name for it is "partial small subunit ribosomal RNA". The record is from RNAcentral. Lineage: Eukaryota; Viridiplantae; Streptophyta; Magnoliopsida; Poales; Poaceae.
AUGGGGUGGGAGAAAAACGAGAAACAUCUCCUCAGCCUUAGUCUCCAAAGCCUCCAAUCUUUGUGCAAGGAGUAUAACCUUCCUGCAAACAAGACCCACCCUCAGCUAGCUCGCUCGCUGGCCAUUUAUCUCGAGAAUGAAAAAAAUAAUUCAGGACCUGAAAAGGAAAAUUUGACUGUUCCUACUUCUACACAGGCUUCUCCUGCUACCUCUCCUGCCAUGUUACCAAAUACCAAAGAAGCAUCCAAAUGUGAGCAAGAUAACCACAAAAGAGGCCCAUAUAGUGACAGAGAUGAUGAUGAUGUUAGGCCACCAUUAAAGCAUAAAAAAGUGUCUAGAAAACAAGCAGAUAGAAAAUUGAAAAGUGACUCUGGUACCAGAACGAGUCUUCCUCCGAUUUCUAGUAACAAUGGCAAAGGAGACUGCUUUAAUUCAUGUUCUGGACAAGGGAUUUCUCAUAAUGUGAAACAAACUGCUGAUGGUAUUGCAACGUGCUCGACAGCCCCAAAGCUUAAUGGAAAUCAUGUUUCAGUUGCUCCUGUGAAUGACACAAUUUCUUUCGUAGCAAGUCAUCCUGGUCCUAAUGGUGUGGCAUCAAAGCCUCCCAGCCAUAUGAAAGCUGGUACAAAUGGCAUAGAUAAGGGCAGUGGCUUGUCUAAUGAGAACUUGGCAAAUGUAAAAUCUCCUUUUAAACUUUUUCUGAUGGAUGAAGAUGGAAUUGAUCUAUUUGUUGAUCUUAAUUCCACUCCAGGAGAUUGGGUUGGCAGCUUCAAGGGUGGAGUGAACCUCCCUCCAAGCACACAUAACUCUGAAACUGAUAUGUUCACCAAUUCUAUUAGCAGCCUUCGGAAUAAGAAUGAUCAGAACACAAUGUUGCCAUCAGAUAAUAUCAUUAUAGACAUACAAGAUAAGGGACCUGAGAGCAUUGCUGCUUGCACCAAUUCAUCACUAGGUUCAACUGAUGGUGAGAAUUAUCGCUCCAAAUCCAAUCCACGUGAUACCACUGCUGUAAACUCGAGGUCAUCUGCAUCCACAUUGUCUGGUACUCCUGUUGAAAUUUCUGUAUCUCAGGAGGGACCUCCGGUGGUACAUUCUUCAUGUUUAACAUCUGAUGUUCAGAACAAUGUGUCACUUGAUAUGGUGGCUGGUGCUUUGGGUAGUAAUGUGCUUCCUCAAGAAUCUGCUGAUGUCUCCAUGUUGCCUGGAAGAAGCCAUGCACCCCUGACCGAUGAUUCCAUACAACCAACUAAUGAAAGCACAUUUAGUCCUGGUAAAACCAAAGCUUGUGUCAAGAAUGGCUGCACUCAGAAUGUUUUGGAUGCUCAUACUGACAAAGCCGUGUCAUCUUCCCCAGGGCAUGUGGUUAUAAGCGACACUGACAAAAACUCUCGUCCACCAUCUGUGGGCAAACAGGAGAUGUUAGAUGUUACUUCAGGGGUUCAGCGUACCCGCAACAGUGAUACAAAUGGACUCCUAAUGGAAAAUGUACCAACGGCGGCAGUGGCGAUGGAAGAAGAUAAUGGUCAUGGUGGCAGCUCGUCAGUUCGUCAACUAGUCAAUCAGGCGGUAAUUGCACUACCUGCCGCAAAUGCCCAGUCAGAUGCUAGUUCUGCAGAUCGUGGCGUUGCUGGAAACUUCGACCUCACAGACCCAACACGAUCAUCUGUUGCUUCGGACAAUGCUGUUACUCCCCUGGCCACGAAUCAUGGUGCAAAGACAGGCAAUAGUCAUGAUUCUGCAGACAAAGAAAAACCGUGUGAUCCUGAGGAGUUGCAGGGUGUGGCUACUAGAAAUAUACUAUGUAGGUUAAGAAGUGCUGCUGCUAAGCAGACCAAGCCCUCUACAGUACCCAGACGGUCAUCAAGGCUUGUCCCAAAGUGA